Molecule: long non-coding RNA, 1897 nt
Filed under: Bemisia tabaci
Lineage: Eukaryota; Metazoa; Arthropoda; Insecta; Hemiptera; Aleyrodidae
Description: lncRNA ENSASIAIIG001832
Source: RNAcentral
CUCAGCCAUCCUCACUUGGAUGAAAAAAAAAGAAAAGUGGUAAAAAAUCUAAAAUAGUACCUGACUGUGCCUUUCAAAGCGAAAAUGUUGUCAUGCCAUGGGGCAGUUGCGUCGUGAUGGAUUCAUUCUAAAUUUUGAAAGCCGUGAUUGAAAUCUCUCAUGCCGUGGGCCAGUUGAGUUACGAUGGACUCAUUCUCUCUGAUAACAGCGUUUUCACUGACGACGUUGCGGUUUAUCGGUCACUUUUACCAUCAGAAAAAGUUCAAAAGCUUGAAAUUCCACUUGAAUCAUCGAUCCUGUGGUUUACGUCAUAGGUCCUAUUUUUAUAUGCUCUCAGAGACGGAGUGCGUUACAAGCGGAGGUGCGUUACCAACUUAGAAAAAGCGGAAUCUACCGGCGAAGCAAUAAAUAUCACCCCCCCCCCUUCCUAAGUUUAUCGCGUAAGGAUGAUGAGAUUUUUAAUAACUAAAUUUUUUUCUCUAAGUGUGCAUUUUAUGUCAUCUGCGCUACUUACGCAAACAUUUUACGUGGAAACACUGAUGAGAUUUCCAACUGCGUGACUCAUCUCCCUUUUUUCUCAAUUCCAAAUACUGAAAAAUGAAACUGUGUCAGACAGAAGAACACCUCCGAACAGAGUUGUUGAUAACGAACCUGCGUCGGAUCUGGUGAAACCGAAAAAACCGUCAAAAUUUUCAUGGAAUCGUAUUACUAGUAGCGUUCGGAGAUCUCUCUCAGGUUCCGGAUCUCUAUCUAGAGGCGACUCACUUUGUUCGAACAGUUCUUUCAACUCCAUGUGCUCCAACACUGGGAAAAUCGUCAGUUCUACGUCCAAAGAGUAUCGAUUCUCACAUCAGAAUGAUUUCUUUGAAAGAGGUGUCGGAAAAAAUUUAAAAAAACUGGGAAGUAUGGGUCUGGAUUCAGGAAGAAAAAUUGUUAAAGGAGCAGUGGGCAGCUUCAGCCGAAGUUUCAGCAAAAUUUCGUCGUCUAGGAGGAGUGAUGGAAGUAUGGAUGGAGGAACACAGAAGAAAGCUCCUAAUAGGGAGGAAUUCCGACAUUUCCUGGCAGAGGUUCACGACAUUCAAAUGGAACAGAGAGCAAGAAGAGGUCCACUAGACUCCAAAGACUUUCUUGAAAGAUUCUGCCUGACAUCGGUCCCUACCAUCCAGAAAGACGCGGUCAAUACUGCUGCCUUGAAACAAGACUGCGCGACACUGUGCGCUGAUGCCUAUGGCUAUAUAUUCAAACCGUCCGAGUGGGAAGAUCCCAAAAACGAACUCGACUUUUUCGCUUGCGGGACACUCAUUCCAAUUACCCGCGGUGAGGUCUGCCUCAACCCCCCACCCCAGUUCAUUAACGCCGAUGAAAUAAAGUUCGAUUGCGUGUGCACGACAACCGUUGACUUCCAGAGGAUAAUGGACAACCAAAAAAUUGGGUUAACGGGGUUUUACCGAGCAAAGCAAAGGUCCUCGGUCGAGGCGGUGGACUGGUUACGCAAGACUUUGGAGGAUGCCGACAGCGAGUUUGAGGUGGUGACAAUGGAGGACUUUAAGCUGAAGAUCAAAGCUCUCCUCAGGAAAUACAAAGUCCCUGAUCCUGAAGUCAGCUAUCAUUUAAAGUACCUGCAGAGCAAACAAGCUGGCGGACAGAGUGAGGAAAAGGCGGACGCGAAAUACUGGGAGGACAUGUUGUUCAGACGAUGAGCCCCAUUGCCCGGCUGUCAAUUGUUCUUCUCGUAAUCUGCGUUUGUUAAUUUUGUAUAAUUAAUCAUUCAAUAAUUUUCAAUACUUCCUACAGCAGUAACCAUGUGAUUCUUUAUGUGUAUGAGAAAUUUUGAUUUUUAACAACAGACAAAUAGGUAAAAAAAAAAAAAAAAAAAAAAAAAAAAAACGGAAGUGAA